This is a long non-coding RNA of Salvia splendens (bonfire salvia), 582 nucleotides long. RefSeq lists it as uncharacterized. The transcript has 2 exons. The record is from RefSeq and is a predicted model, not a curated record. Lineage: Eukaryota; Viridiplantae; Streptophyta; Magnoliopsida; Lamiales; Lamiaceae.
CAAGAAAGAAAUCACACAUGACUUGUUUCCCUUUUGCUUUUAUAACUUUAUAUCACUUUGCUUUAUGCUUAGGAGAGAGAAAUAAGUGGUGGGAAUAACUGUAACUUGAUGAGUGAGGACUGAGGAUCAUAAUGCAGGAGUGAGAACAUUAUUAGCAUACCAUCCACAAGUAUACACACAUUCUUCAUCUUCAACGAUAAACUUGCAACCAUUUUCUCUCUCUAAAUCUAUCUCUGCUAAACCAUGGAAGGAGUGUCUUCAGCAGCCAUUGAAGUUCUUGUCCAAAACCUUCAACGGUGUUUAGCACUUUGAUUCUGAAAGGAGUGGCUACAAAGGCUUUGUUUUGGGUUGAGAAGUAAUUCGUGCUGUAAUAAUGUCUGAUUGGAAAGGUGAUUGUGAUGCUGGUUUCAGAGUUUGAUCAAGCGGAGAAAGGAUGCGAUAUUUUGAGUCUAAUGUGAACAUAUUAUCCAAAUGUUUAUAUCAACAGACGAGGGCUGAAUUCUGUUUAUUUCUGGUAAAUGUUGGCAGCUUCUGUAUUCACAUACUAAUAUCCACUUUAAAGGCUUGCUUUUGUGACGUGUA